GGAGGAGCUGCGGGUCGCGCCUCCACGGGGCAUGUCACGCGUGGGAGCGGCCCUCCAGGAGCAGAAAGCAAAGUCUCUUGCAAUGAAUCCACGGCAGCUUCGAUUGAGCGGUGAGCUGGAGCACCUACCCACAGGCCACUUCUCGAUGUGA
Molecule: long non-coding RNA, 151 nt
Filed under: Numida meleagris (helmeted guineafowl)
Lineage: Eukaryota; Metazoa; Chordata; Aves; Galliformes; Numididae
Description: lncRNA (ENSNMEG00000011840.1)
Source: RNAcentral